Molecule: long non-coding RNA, 2165 nt
Filed under: Microcebus murinus (gray mouse lemur)
Lineage: Eukaryota; Metazoa; Chordata; Mammalia; Primates; Cheirogaleidae
Description: lncRNA (ENSMICG00000048732.1)
Source: RNAcentral
GCCGGACUGUGUAUUUAGGGUUUUGUGUGCAAAAUCAGGAGGAAAGGGGAGAAAAGGGGAAAGGGUGUGUGGUUAGACCUGGAAGAGGAAUUUGGGAGGUGAGAGUUUUGAAAAGCAAAAGUGCAGAAUCAGAUUUGACAUGUAUAGAAACAAGAGGAAAAAACAGGCUCUCGACAAGUAUUUGCUUUGGGCUACCCCAUCUUCAUAGUACUAGAGAAUGUGUACAGAUAACUUGAGCUGCUUUGAAAUAUGUUUUGGUUGCUGGACUGAGUUUAUUUGGUGGCAACGACUUCGAGACUGGCCCGUGUGGGUGACGGUGCUCUGAGCGUUGCUCUGCGAUGCAGCAAAGAGGAAUGGGGUGUGGUGAGUGUCUCUGGGCAUCUGAGACAGUCGGGUCAGCGGCUGUGAUGGGAAGAGGCCGGAAGCCAAGAACUGUUCGUUUGUUCCAGGACUGGAAGUUCAGCGUGACUUAUGACACAGGGCCAGCUGUGUCCAGAUGUACGAGAGGAGCCCAAAAGCUCGGGGCUCUCACAGGCUUUGUUUGUGGUGUCACUGCCCCCUAUGCUGCAGCCUGGGAGGGGAGGGGCUCGGUAGCAGCUUGGCCCUCUGUCUCUUGAAACAGGGGGAGCUGGGGCUGGAGGAGAAGCUGGUCUGCUGGGCCUGACAAUGCACUUGGAAGUGGAGAAAUAAGGACAGAGCUCUGGUGUAGGGGACCCUGAUUUCAGUCUUAAGAGUCUAGGAUUCUGGAGCUCAAGUGCUCCUGUCUGCACGGAUCCAGGCCCCUCUCUCUCAGCCAUCUCGACAGCACCCAGACGGCUCAGCCCUGCUCACUGCCUGCCGCUGGCGGAGACCUUAUCUCUGCCCACCACACGCAGCUGCUGCAGCGUCCUGGGCGGACUGGAAGCCAAACCACCGGAGCGAGUCUGCAGGCCGGUCCCGCUGCCUGCUCCGGGGACAGGAGCAGGGAAGAGGGGAAGAAGUGAGGCUGCCUGCCUGCCUCGCUCCUCUGGCAGAUGCCACAGGGACCCCUCGGCCCCCCUUUCAUUCCACAGGAUGGAUGCGGCUACCUCUCCUUGCCCCAGUCUCCUCUCCCUGGGCUGUGCUGGCCCCAUUGCCAGAAAAAUUCCAGGGCAUUCCAAGGCAAUCUGCCUGGAAAACAAACCCGGUGCCGAGCCACCGCGGGAUGGGCCAGAGGAUUUUGGUUUAAUCCCAAAACUCCCAGCACGGCCCAAAUCUCAUAAAUCAGGUGGGGAUAGUUGUUGUUUCAAGCGGCCGGUCCUUUCUUGUGCUGGCCGGCUCUCCCCUGCCUGCUCCUGCAGUGGGGGAGGGACUCUGCAGUGGGGGUGGGGAGAGGCCAGCAGGGAGGGAAGAGAUGGGGUGACUUAGCACGAGCCAUCUCUCUGCCCCACUUCGUCCCUUGACCUUCAGUCUGACGAGAAUCCCGUCCUGGCCGGCCCCGGAACGGUAAUAAGCUGCUGUGUUCAGGGAGCACGUUCAAGCGUUUUCAAAGCACCUUCAUUUCCAAUAAUCCAUUUUAUCCCUCUGGCAGCCCCAGACGGGGCAUAGGUGAGAGGCCGGUCUCGGAGGCCACGGAGGCCGCUGUGUCCACGCGGGUGUGCCUCCCAGCACACUGGCUGCCGGGCCUCUGCAGGCUGCCCCGUGGGUGUGGGACCGCCCAGACCGAGAGUGUCUUCUGCUGACCCAGCGCGGAGACGCCCAGAAGCUUCCACCACUGGCCUCACAUUGAAGUGCGUGAGCACAUGGACUUCUGCUCCGAAUCUGGCCCUGCCCUUCAGCAGCUGUGGUGCCUUGGCCAAGUUAUUUAGCCUCCCUGGGCCUCAGUUUCCUUAUCAUAAAGCAGGGAGAAUACCCACCUUACAGGGCUGUUAGGAGGACUAACUGAAUCAAUAUUUAGAAAGUGCUAGAGCAGUCCCUGGCACGUAGUAAGGGCUGUGUCAGUGUUUGCUGAAAAAACUGGUCUCAGCUCUGAAACCCAGGAUCACACAGACGGCGGCCAGGCUCUCGGGUAUGGGAGCUCGCGUGGGCUCCCUGAACCUCUUCUUCUCCAAGCCCUUCAGUUACCCAGCAAAUAUUUGUUGAACACACACCAUGUGCCUGUGUGUUUGGCCUUGGGUUUGCUGUGUGGACGGAAACAAAACAGUCCC